This 262-nucleotide long non-coding RNA is filed under the name Gossypium barbadense (sea-island cotton). RNAcentral describes it as "long non-coding RNA (GBAR_LNC009077)". Lineage: Eukaryota; Viridiplantae; Streptophyta; Magnoliopsida; Malvales; Malvaceae. The record is from RNAcentral.
UGUUGAAUAACAAACCCAAAUGACCAGUUUUCUGAAUGGACACACUUAGUAUUCGGCUACCAAUAAGACCCCAAAACUAGAGAGAAGAAAGAAGCCAAAAGAAACAAUAAUCAUAAAAAAUUGGAAGUAAAACCACUCAAUUUCGGUACUCAAAGGAUUAUGACCGAAUUUGCAUAAUGGAAAAUCCCACUUUCAGCCAACUUCUACCACUUCACCCCCUCCUUGAUCCACUUCUCAAAUCUCUCCCUAAAUCUCUCCUCUC